Non-coding RNA from Pelobates cultripes (western spadefoot toad), 202 nucleotides. The record is from the annotation of a GenBank genome assembly. NCBI's taxonomy places the organism in Eukaryota, Metazoa, Chordata, Amphibia, Anura, Pelobatidae.
UUUGAGUCAAUGCAAGGAUUGCUGCAUGCCAUAAAGGAUUACUGGAGAACGGAUACUUUGCUACUUUACAAGUGGACCAUAUCUCUGAACUAUUGGAAGACUACACAUAUUAACCUUAAGAAUAUCUUUCAGCUAUUUGUCUACAAUAUCAUUUAAUAAUGAACUAAUGCUUGCUUACUCAAAUCUUCACUGCUUCAAGCUA